GAAGAAUUAGUUGGAACUCGAGCGCGGGCGGCAGCGGAGGAGGAGAUAAGAGGAAGGCAGAGUGGCAGGAGGCGGAGACGGAUCCCGACAGGGGCGGCACCACCGCACGAACCCCGCACGGUCCAGUGUGAGGGGAACGGCGAGGAGGAGACGCCUCCGCUGCCACCGCAACAGACUGACUCCAGGCUUUCAGGCCCCCACGCUGGGCCUUGCUGUCAGCAAGCUUCAGCUCCGCAACUCAGUUUGCUGCGGCCUCAGAUUUCUUUACCUCCAGAAAGAAAAAAAUUGACCCCUAGCAUCCUGGAAGAUUAUUUAAGAAUCUGAAAUUAAGGACUUAUUUCAAAUUUCGACAUGGCUAAUCGAGGUGCAACAAGACCCAAUGGACCGAAUACUGGAAAUAAAAUAUGCCAGUACUUCUCGGAGAGUCUGCUGUUGGUAAAUCAUGCCUAGUGCUUCGUUUUGUGAAAGGCCAAUUUCAUGAAUUUCAAGAAAGUACCCUUGGGGCUGCUUUUCUAACCCAAGCUGUGUGUCUUGAUGAUACUACAGUAAAAUUUGAAAUAUGGGAUACAGCUGGUCAAGAACGAUACCAUAGCCUAGCACCAAUGUACUACAGAGGAGCACAAGCAGCCAUAGUUGUAUAUGAUAUCACAAACGAGGAGUCCUUUGCAAGAGCAAAAAAUUGGGUUAAAGAGCUUCAGAGACAAGCAAGUCCUAACAUUGUAAUAGCUUUAUCAGGAAACAAGGCUGACCUAGCAAAUAAAAGAGCUGUAGAUUUCCAGGAAGCACAAUCCUAUGCAGAUGAUAACAGUUUGUUAUUCAUGGAGACAUCUGCCAAAACAUCAAUGAAUGUGAACGAAAUAGUCAUGGCAAUAGCUAAAAAGUUGCCAAAGAAUGAACCACAGAAUCCAGAAGCGAAUUCUGCCAGAGGAAGAGUAGAUCUUACUGAACCCACACAACCAACCAGGAGUCAGUGUUGUAGUAACUACAUCUCCAGUUUGAACUAGCUGGGAUUUUCUUCUGCUUUCUGAAUGUUAAUAACAGUGGAAUUGGAGCAUUUAACAAGCCCAGUAUGACUUCCAA
Nycticebus coucang (slow loris) is the source of this 1080-nucleotide RNA transcript. It is a transcript of the gene named ras-related protein Rab-5A-like, with no coding region annotated. The transcript has 2 exons. Lineage: Eukaryota; Metazoa; Chordata; Mammalia; Primates; Lorisidae. The record is from RefSeq and is a predicted model, not a curated record.